UAGGGAAUCUUCCGCAAUGGGCGAAAGCCUGACGGAGCAACGCCGCGUGAGUGAUGAAGGUCUUCGGAUCGUAAAACUCUGUUAUUAGGGAAGAACAAAUGUGUAAGUAACUAUGCACGUAUUGACGGUACCUAAUCAGAAAGCCACGGCUAACUACGUGCCAGCAGCCGCGGUAAUACGUAGGUGGCAAGCGUUAUCCGGAAUUAUUGGGCGUAAAGCGCGCGUAGGCGGUUUUUUAAGUCUGAUGUGAAAGCCCACGGCUCAACCGUGGAGGGUCAUUGGAAACUGGAAAACUUGAGUGCAGAAGAGGAAAGUGGAAUUCCAUGUGUAGCGGUGAAAUGCGCAGAGUUAUGGAGGAACACCAGUGGCGAAGGCGACUUUCUGGUCUGUAACUGACGCUGAUGUGCGAAAGCGUGGGGAUCAAACAGG
RNAcentral lists this ribosomal RNA (429 nucleotides) under Actinomycetes bacterium. RNAcentral describes it as "Actinobacteria bacterium partial 16S ribosomal RNA". It matches the Rfam family "Bacterial small subunit ribosomal RNA", at positions 355 to 776 of the family's 1533-position model. The record is from RNAcentral. Lineage: Bacteria; Bacillati; Actinomycetota; Actinomycetes.